RNAcentral lists this unclassified non-coding RNA (331 nucleotides) under soil metagenome. RNAcentral describes it as "partial contains 5.8S ribosomal RNA, internal transcribed spacer 2, and large subunit ribosomal RNA". The stretch from base 1 to 120 matches the Rfam family "5.8S ribosomal RNA", at positions 35 to 154 of the family's 154-position model. The record is from RNAcentral.
GAUGAAGAACGCAGCGAAAUGCGAUAAGUAAUGUGAAUUGCAGAAUUCAGUGAAUCAUCGAAUCUUUGAACGCACAUUGCGCCCCCUGGUAUUCCGGGGGGCAUGCCUGUUCGAGCGUCAUUUCACCACUCAAGCCUCGCUUGGUAUUGGGCAACGCGGUCCGCCGCGUGCCUCAAAUCGACCGGCUGGGUCUUCUGUCCCCUAAGCGUUGUGGAAACUAUUCGCUAAAGGGUGUUCGGGAGGCUACGCCGUAAAACAACCCCAUUUCUAAGGUUGACCUCGGAUCAGGUAGGGAUACCUGCUGAACUUAAGCAUAUCAAUAAGCGGAGGA